GAAUUUUAGGGUGCUCUCUCCAUCUGACUCCUUUAACUGGGUUGAUGUGAGAGAGGCCUGACCUCCACUUUCUACCCUGUGCAUCAUUUCUAAAAGGUCUCUCUGUCCUGCUUGCCUCACGGCAGCUUGAUGUUGAGCCUUUUUCAAUUUAUAAACACCAAAGUCAAAGAAUGCAUUUAAAUCAUAACAAAAAAAAACUUUCAACAACGGAUCUCUUGGCUCU
This 223-nucleotide unclassified non-coding RNA is filed under the name rhizosphere metagenome. Its description in RNAcentral is "partial ribosomal RNA internal transcribed spacer region". The record is from RNAcentral.